Molecule: non-coding RNA, 316 nt
Filed under: Campylobacter pinnipediorum subsp. pinnipediorum
Lineage: Bacteria; Pseudomonadati; Campylobacterota; Epsilonproteobacteria; Campylobacterales; Campylobacteraceae
Source: RNAcentral
AAAGCACAGCGAUAAGCCGAGUUCUGUCGUGAGUGGUCAUUUAUCUAAAUUUGCAUUUACAUACAAAUUUUAGCGAAUGGUUUAAUUAUAAGACUAAAACCGCCCAUUCUUACUACGAGUUGGGUUUAUCUAGCCACUCUAGUUUCCAAGAGUGCUGGUGGGCUCUUACCCCACCGUUUCACCUUUACCUUUGAAAUAAGGUAGUUUGCUUUCUGUUACACUUUCCCUUAGGUCACCCUAGCCAUCCGUUAGAUGGAACUCUGUCUUAUUGUAGCUCGGACUUUCCUCUUUUUCAAGCGACCACUUACUGUGCUUU